RNAcentral lists this ribosomal RNA (468 nucleotides) under uncultured bacterium. Its description in RNAcentral is "partial 16S ribosomal RNA". It matches the Rfam family "Bacterial small subunit ribosomal RNA", at positions 28 to 507 of the family's 1533-position model. The record is from RNAcentral.
GACGAACGCUGGCGGCGUGCUUAACACAUGCAAGUCGAACGGAAAGGCCCUGCUUUUGUGGGGUGCUCGAGUGGCGAACGGGUGAGUAACACGUGAGUAACCUGCCCUUGACUUUGGGAUAACUUCAGGAAACUGGGGCUAAUACCGGAUAGGAGCUCCUGCUGCAUGGUGGGGGUUGGAAAGUUUCGGCGGUUGGGGAUGGACUCGCGGCUUAUCAGCUUGUUGGUGGGGUAGUGGCUUACCAAGGCUUUGACGGGUAGCCGGCCUGAGAGGGUGAACGGCCACAUUGGGACUGAGAUACGGCCCAGACUCCUACGGGAGGCAGCAGUGGGGACUAUUGCACAAUGGGCGGAAGCCUGAUGCAGCAACGCCGCGUGCGUGAUGACGGCCUUCGGGUUGUAAACCGCUUUCGCCUGUGACGAAGCGUGAGUGACGGUAAUGGGUAAAGAAGCACCGGCUAACUACGUG